Molecule: long non-coding RNA, 2740 nt
Organism: Felis catus (domestic cat)
Lineage: Eukaryota; Metazoa; Chordata; Mammalia; Carnivora; Felidae
Exons: 4
Source: RefSeq, a predicted model, not a curated record
GAUUCAGGUUGUCCCAAAACUUAAGGAGGAAUAGAAUUGGUAAAAUCGGGUUUUAGGCUUGACUGCAGAAUAGGAACACUUGAGAAGUAAAAGGAAAAUGAAGAAAAUGCCAAUUGAGCUGGAGGAAGAAAAGAAUUUCCUUGGGAGAAAGACUGAAAUCUUAGAGAUCAGGCAAGACAGAUCUGAAAUAUGUGGGCUCUGUGUUCCUUUUGGGACUGGACUUGGGAAGGGGGGAUCUUAUGAUGAUUAAUAGAUUGUUGAGUUGUUUGAGGAGCAUGCCAGCUAAGUAUGAAGAUGAUGGGAACACAAGGCUCAAAUGGAAAGUGGACAUUAAAAGUCUUUAAAAUAUGUGGAAUGGACGCCGAGGGUGGGGGAAGAGAAUUUCAGGUCAUAUCCGGAUGCAUGCAGGGACCACCUUGCAAAUUUCCCUAUUUUGCUACCUUGGAGGAGGUCGUUCGGAGGAUGUGACCUUUGCUUGACCCAUGGGCUGGACCCAUGCAGCCAGAGGCUCCUCCCACCUCCUGGGCCCUUGGAAAGUACAUUCUGCCCGCCGCCCCCACCCACAGCUGUUUGCAAACAGCCCUCAGAGAGUAAUGUGUUAUUGAAAUCACCUGGGCGCUACACGUGACUGAACCCAGUUAAGGCCUCUAUAUAAACUCCUAAGAAGGCAGUAGGGGGUUGGGUGGAGAUUUAGUUAGCUUGUGGCUGCCCAAGUGAUCCUCACAGCUGUAGCUGGGCCUUGACUGACCCAGCCCGACUGUGGCUUCAGCUUUGGAAGAGUUACAGGAAGGUCUAGAAGAGGUGAAAGUGCUGCUGGAAAAGGCCCCUAGAAAAAGAGUACUUGAUGCUCUUAUGGCUGAAAAAUCCAAGAUUGAGGCAAAAAUCAAGAACAAGAUCCAGCAGAAAUGAGAGAAAAGCAGAACUUCUUGACUAUGAAAAGCCAGAUGCUAUGAUUGCCCCUAUUACAAUGGGCUACACAGUGAAAAUCAGUAAUUACCAAUGGGAUCAGUCAGGGACUGCGGCUUUGACCCACUAGACCUUCUGGAAGAGGGUUUCACCGAGCAAUGGCCGGGAGCUGGUCACACCCAGGAAGGUUUGCAGGACUGUGCUGCUGCUGAUGCCCAGAAAUCGCAGCUGAGUGCCAGCCCGCCCCAGAAAAAGUUCAUGUGAUUCAGUAGCAGCAGCUUUUCAGGGAUUAUGGGUCCGCUGGAACCUUUGCCUUUGGGGGUGGCCGCACGGCCUCUACCGAAUGUCCUCCCAGCAGGGGAACUACCUCUCCCCAUGUGCCCUGUGGACUCCCAGACUUCACUCUCUGAUCCUGGGGAUUUACCAUUCUCACCAGACCACCACCAGGUAUUGAACUGUGGAGUUUGACUCUGUGCUCCCCAUGUUUAUGAGUCUUAAUGGAAUUUAAACCCUUUCCUUUGUCCCUUUUUCAUUCAGUCCCUGCAGCUGUUUCCACUUUUCCACUUCUCUCCAGCUGCUUUUGGGGAGGGGGUGGGUGCUUUUCCCCGUACUCCCCCCGCCCUGUGCCAUCUCCAUAUUUUUUCCACACGCAUAAGCGGCUCCCUGCUCUUGUGGCUUCUCUCUCCCCCAGUUCCCCUCUCCCCACUGGGUACCUGCUGAGUUCUCUGGUUCAGGUUGUACAGAUUGUUGUGUUAAUCCUCAAAUCCAUUUUCUAAGUGUGCAGGAUGGUUUAGUGUUGAUCUGGCUGUAUUUCAUGGAUGUGAGAUGCAAAAAAAACUUCCAUGCUGUUCUGCCAUCUUGGUGCCUCCUCUCAACAUUUUUAAUCUCAGCAUUUCUUUAUACUCUUCAAAGUUAUUAAGGUCCCCAAAAAACUUUUGUUCACAUAGGUUUUAUCAGUGUUUACCAUAUUCAAUUGAAAAUGAUCAUAGACAAAUAUUUGUUUUGUUGUUAAUGUGUUUAAACACAAUAAACCCAUUAUGUUAAUAUAAAAAACAUUUUCUUUAGGCCAAAAUCCAUACUCUCUAGAACAGAAAAGUUCUAGUGAGUAGAGCAGCAUCAUUUAUUUUUGCAUAUUUUUAAAGUGUCUGAUAACAAGAGACGACUAGAUUCUCACAUAUACAUACUCAGUCUGUUAUCAUAUGUUCCUUGAUUGAAGUAUGUGAAGAAAACCCGGCUUUACAUACCUUGAAGGUAGAAAAAAAAGGAGAAUUUGAAUCUUUUCAGAUAGUUGUAGAUAUUCUCCUCUAAUACUAUGCCAAAGUUUGAUAAGUAGCAGUUUCUUAAAAAUUAGUUGCAAAAUAGACUGUAAAACUGUUAUCAAAGGACUUUUUGUAGUGUUUUAUUAAAAUCCAUUACAUUUGAAAUAUAGCUUUCCCCAUAUAUAAUUUUGUAAACUUAUGUCUUGGUCAUUUGGAAACUGCUGGUUCAUUGAGUUAUAAUGCUGGUUCAUUGAACUGCUGGUUCAUUGAUUUUCGAAACGUUGACAUGAUUCAUCUUAAAAUAUGAAAAGUCACAUUUAUUAACAUCAACAGAAAAGUCUUUAAAUAUUGGAAAGUGUCAAGGUUAUUAUGUUGGACAUGUUUUCCAUAAUUCCUGUUUUUGCUGGAAAGCUAAUAUUUUAUCAUUAGCAACAAAUAUAGUCUGUUUUCCUCAAAGUGGUGGGCUUACUUUAUGUUUGAGAGAAAAUGUUUUGCAAAAUACUUUCUUUUUCUUCCAAGUUUUAAAAUUCCACUUUGUCUUUCUUUGACUUAUUUCAUUUAGCGUAAUAUCUCUA